Molecule: ribosomal RNA, 459 nt
Filed under: uncultured bacterium
Lineage: Bacteria
Description: partial 16S ribosomal RNA
Rfam family: Bacterial small subunit ribosomal RNA
Source: RNAcentral
CCUACGGGAGGCAGCAGUGAGGAAUAUUGGUCAAUGGGCGCGAGCCUGAACCAGCCAAGUCGCGUGAGGGAAGACGGUCCUAUGGAUUGUAAACCUCUUUUGUCGGGGAGCAAAAGACGCCACGCGUGGCGUUCCGAGAGUACCCGAAGAAAAAGCAUCGGCUAACUCCGUGCCAGCCGCCGCGGUAAUACGGAGGAUGCGAGCGUUAUCCGGAUUUAUUGGGUUUAAAGGGUGCGCAGGCGGAAGAGCAAGUCAGCGGUAAAAUUGAGAGGCUCAACCUCUUCGAGCCGUUGAAACUGGUUUUCUUGAGUGAGUGAGACGUAUGCGGAAUGCGUGGUGUAGCGGUGAAAUGCAUAGAUAUCACGCAGAACUCCGAUUGCGAAGGCAGCAUACCGGCGCUCAACUGACGCUCAUGCACGAAAGUGUGGGUAUCGAACAGGAUUAGAUACCCCGGUAGUC